CAAGUGCUCAGUUCAUCGCCACCCAACAUUUCGUUUAGGCGAGAUUUGAUUGGCCCCCGAUUUAUGUCAUGGAACAAUCUUUUAUCCCGUCUAGAUUCGAUUAAUCUUAGACAAGGCCGAGAUGUGUUUCGCUGGAACCUUACUCCAUCAGGGUCAUUCACAGUAGACUCUAUGUAUCGUGCACUCAUGCAUUCUGAGGUACCGAUGAGUAAUAAUAAGAAAAUCUGGAAGUCGAAGAUUCCACUAAAAGUUAAAAUCUUCAUGUGGUAUCUUCGUAGGGGAGUUGUUCUAACCAAAGACAACCUCACAUGGCGCAACUGGCCAGGGAGUAAGAAGUGUUGUUUUUGUACUCAUGAAGAGACAAUCAAACACCUCUUUUUCCAAUGCAAGUUUGCAUGUUCUAUGUGGUCAAUCAUCCAAAUAGCAUCAAAUUUGUAUCCGCCCACAAGUGUCGCGAAUAUUUUUGGUCAUUGGUUCGUCGACAUUUCAAAUUGA
Molecule: ribosomal RNA, 495 nt
Filed under: Triticum aestivum (bread wheat)
Lineage: Eukaryota; Viridiplantae; Streptophyta; Magnoliopsida; Poales; Poaceae
Description: partial small subunit ribosomal RNA
Source: RNAcentral